Molecule: unclassified non-coding RNA, 2184 nt
Filed under: Hevea brasiliensis (rubber tree)
Lineage: Eukaryota; Viridiplantae; Streptophyta; Magnoliopsida; Malpighiales; Euphorbiaceae
Source: RNAcentral
AAAAAGUAGAACGUGGAAUUUUUUGGGAAAGAGUUACUAUAUGCACCAUGGUUUUAAUUCGUAGUCGCAGGUAAUAGAAAUAAGCCUAUAAAAAGGGUAACAACUUGUUGCUAUGCAAAUUUUUGUUUUGAAAAAUUUUCAUAGUUCAUGAAAUGAAUAGAUAUUUGAAACUAUAAUUAAAAUUAAAAUACAAUACUAAAUAACCAGCAUAAACAUAUCAAAUAAAUACAUUAAAUCAUUCAUUCUUAGGUAUCAUUAGCGUUAAUCAAUUUAAAAAGAAAAUAACUAGGAUCCUGAAUAGGCAUAUGGAGUGUGGCUUAUUGUAGUAGGAUCCUAAAUGGGUUGGAAAAAUAUGGAUGGAGUAGUGUAGAUCAAUUGCCCUUAUUCACCUUCAAAUAAACCUUCACUAUUUGAUGAUCUUAGCUCAAGAAAUGAAGAUUUAUGAAGAUGAAAAUUUUAAGAUGGAAAUUUUGAGAGAAAUAGAUGGAGAAGUGUAGAACCUAGAAACAAAAUAAACUUUCUGCACCAUAAAUAAAAAGAGUUUUUAUCUACCCAUGUGGGUAAUAGCCAUUACCCAUUAAGUAACGACGGUAACAGUUGUUAUGAUUACAUAACAGUCAUUACCAAUUUUAACUUUUCAGCUGUUUUUUAAAGUAGGUAUCGGUAAUGGUAGUCCCAAAAACCUGUAAAUAAUGGCCGUAACAUUAUAUAACGGCCGUUAUUUAAAACCAUAGUGAACUAUAAGUGCCUCAAUCAAAUAGUCAUUAAUCAUCCCAAUUGCUCUCCAUUUAGAAUUUUUGCUUGGUAAGGCUGCCAUUAUACUUACUGGUAAAAAGUUGGUAAACACCACUAUGCAUUGUUACAGAACAGUCCAAUAUCUUUAUGUAUUUAUAUGGCAACUGGCUAGUAACAUGUUGUGGAUUCAUCUUGCUUCUUUUUCUAAGUAAUUUGAAAUUUAGCUCUUCUGCCUUUUGGGAGAUGCCGUUUAACCAUACAUAAUAAUUUGAAGAUGAGGGCUCAUUACUACUGCACAGUCACAUAAUAACAAAAAUGAAAUCGCUGUCAUCAUUUAAAUUAAUAGUUGAAUUCAUGGUACUAUUUGCAGGUAGGAAGUGGUGGAAUAGUAAGAGAUCCCCAAGUCCAUCAAGAGGUACACAUUUUUUUCUUAUCUUUCUGAUAACACCAAGCAGUUUAGGCCAACUCUGACUGACCUUUGUGCUAUUCCAAAAUAAUUAUCAAGUUUUUUCAUUUCACAGUUGGUCAUUUCAUUUAACAAUUAUGAGAAUGUUAUGAAUGUCUAUGAUGUGCUGGUUAUCCAUGAAUAAUUGAAAAGGAAGUCAAGUGUGUCACCCUACAUAGCAAGUAUGAGCACGUUGUGAAUUUGUAUGAUGUGCUGAUUAUCCAUGAAUUAUUGAAGGAGUCAAGUGUGAGUGUGACAAAGAUUGUUGUAAACUUUAUAUGCUUGUUCAUGCUAUAUCGAGUUUGAGUGAUGUCAAAAAUCAACUACAGUGCAAAACAAUGGAACUAUCUACGGCUCAUUGGAUAUGUGGGAUUCAAAGUAAACAAAAUUGAUUGGACUUGAUAGGACUAUAUAACAGUGUGCUAUAACUUUGGUUCCAUUAUGUAGGCUCUUGAGAAGAUUGUAAAGGGUGUGGAGAACUUUGGAUUCUGCAGCAAAGGGUGGAUUGAGUCUCCUUUAAAGGGUGCUGAAGGUAACACAGAAUUUCUGGUUUACUUUAGUCGAAUGCGUGAGAAAAGUACAGAAUAAUGUAUUCAUAUGAAAGAGGCGACUGCAUCAGCCUGGAUGCAAAAUCUUCUCAGAGGCUGGCACUGGAUGGGUUAAUUUUCAACCUGCAGCUUGGCAUGCAUCUGUAAAGAAGAAAGUUCUAUUGCCCCCAAUGUUUGUAAAUUUCUAUCAACCGUAAUUUGCUGUAGAGUUGAAAACUCAAGAAAUGAAAGACGAGCAAUAUUAGCCCACUUCUCUGGUGGUUCAAGGCAAUUGUCUCUUGUUAAACAGCUUACUUACCUUUGCACGCAGAUGGUGUCCCAAUGAAUGCUGGUUAAUGAGUUUGAUAAAUUGCCCACCUAUUACAUGAUUUCCCCACCUUAAAAACAAAAAGUGCUGCGAGUUCACUUUUUGUGAAGCAAUAUACUUUUCAAAGCUAGCUACUGAUUUUUUUUUUU